Molecule: unclassified non-coding RNA, 338 nt
Filed under: soil metagenome
Description: partial contains 5.8S ribosomal RNA, internal transcribed spacer 2, and large subunit ribosomal RNA
Rfam family: 5.8S ribosomal RNA (bases 1-120)
Source: RNAcentral
GAUGAAGAACGCAGCGAAAUGCGAUACGUAGUGUGAAUUGCAGAAUUCAGUGAAUCAUCGAAUCUUUGAACGCACAUUGCGCCCUUUGGUAUUCCAAAGGGCAUGCCUGUUCGAGCGUCAUUUGUACCCUCAAGCUUUGCUUGGUGUUGGGCGUCUUGUCUCCAGUCCGCUGGAGACUCGCCUUAAAGUCAUUGGCAGCCGGCCUACUGGUUUCGGAGCGCAGCACAAGUCGCACUCUUUUCCAGCCAAGGUCAGUGUCCAACAAGCCUUUUUUCAACUUUUGACCUCGGAUCAGGUAGGGAUACCCGCUGAACUUAAGCAUAUCAAUAAGCGGAGGA